CCCGCUGAACUUAAGCAUAUCAAUAAGCGGAGGAAAAGAAACUAACAAGGAUUCCCUCAGUAACAGCGAGUGAAGCGGGAAGAGCUCUUAUUUAAAAUCUGGCUCACUAGUAAGUCCGAGUUGUAGUCUGGAGAAACGUGUUCCAUAAGCUCUGAGGCACAAGUGCCUUGGAUACAGAGGCAUCAUAGAGGGUGAGAAUGGAGUGGCAUGGUCAUCAAGUUGCUUAUUCUGUGAUACGUCUUUCAAAGAGUCAGGUUGUCAGGGAAUGCAGCCUAAAAUGGGUGGUAAUUUUCAUCUAAAGCUACAUAUUGGCGAGAGAUCGAUAGCGAACAAGUACCGUGAGGGAAAGAUGAAAAGACCUAGGAAAAGAGAGUUAAACAGUACGUGAAAUGGUUGAAAGGGAUCUGUUUGAAGCCAGUCUCACUAGCUGGAGAUCAGUUUGUGCCUAGGCAUGAAUGCACUCUCGGGUAUGGUAGGCCAGCGGCAGUUUAGAAUGCGAGAAAAAAAUCUGGGAAAUGUGGCCAUUGGGUGUUAUAGUCCCUUAUGAAAUAUCGUGUUCUGGACUGAGGAUCGCAGUAAAAAUGUGGGCAGGUAGAUUUCUGUGGUGAAUGAUUAUUAGGACAGCUUGUAGACCUAGUUUUCAUAAGCCUCACUGUCUGCCUUGCUUCUAAUUCGCUUAGGUCGUUGGCAUAAUGGCUUAUAAAUGACCCGUCGUGAAACACGG
RNAcentral lists this ribosomal RNA (724 nucleotides) under uncultured fungus. Its description in RNAcentral is "eukaryotic LSU rRNA". It matches the Rfam family "Eukaryotic large subunit ribosomal RNA", at positions 24 to 664 of the family's 3401-position model. Lineage: Eukaryota; Fungi. The record is from RNAcentral.